RNAcentral lists this transfer RNA (67 nucleotides) under Strahlaxius plectrorhynchus. RNAcentral describes it as "tRNA-Pro". The record is from RNAcentral. Lineage: Eukaryota; Metazoa; Arthropoda; Malacostraca; Decapoda; Strahlaxiidae.
CAAGAGAUAGUUUUAACUCAAAAUAUUAAUUUUGGAUAUUAAAGAUAAAGAAAUACUUUUCUCUUGA